Molecule: long non-coding RNA, 1481 nt
Organism: Lactuca sativa (garden lettuce)
Lineage: Eukaryota; Viridiplantae; Streptophyta; Magnoliopsida; Asterales; Asteraceae
Source: RefSeq, a predicted model, not a curated record
UGUUAAAUAAUAAUAUUUUUGUAAACAACAUUUAUUAUAUUUUCGUGUAUAAAGGAAAUUGAUUUGUAUAUAGAAAAUAUUUAGGCACAUCUAUUCCCCUGAAAUAUUUAAAAUAUUAAAAAGGGGCAGUAGACACUCACCCUUGAAACGUGAGUUCCAAGCGUUCGAAUUCGGUUUCUUUGAGAAGCUUGACGUUAAAAACCGCAAAGUCACAUUUCUUAAGCUUUUGAAAUAUUUUUGGGACUGUUUCGUAACGAAUUUAAACUAUUGGGGGUUGUUGGGUAAACUUAAUUAACCAAAAUAGGACUGCUUUGGUUAAAAUAUUUCAAGGGAGGGACUGAAAUGGUUGAAAUGGGUUUAAGGUUUGAGUCAUGGGCUGGUAUUGUUAAGACAUCUCCAUGGGAGGGGAUGUUUUGAAUAAAAUACACCAAAGUUUGGGGAAUGGACUCAUUUUUGCACAAAUGGUUCAAGUGAGGGCGUAUUUUGCUCAUUUUACAAAUAUAAAAUGAUUUUAGGGCUUUUAUAAAAGGAAAUCUUAUGGAGGGACCAUUUUUUAUUAGUGGCCCAAAACUUAAUGUAAUUUAGGGUUUUAUGUCCCGUCUCUUUUGUUUGAUCGGGCAAUGGAUGAAGGCGAAUGAACCCAAGGCAGCAAAAGAACGGAAGCGUCAUUGCAGGUGGAGGAGAAAUCGAUCACCAACUUAGAUUUGGGGGGUUUCGACCCUUGGUUCCUUGCUCGUCGCAGGCCAAAAAGGGGACCGAGGGUGGUAUCGUCGAUUGCAGAUCGCAGUAAGGGAGGAGUCUCCGGGUCGGCUAGAGCGAAGGAAGAAGAAGAAUGGAGCAGCAAGCUGCCGUCGGUUCUCAAUGGGUGAAGCUGUGAGGAGGUGAGCGCCUCCGACGUUCGAAUGGUCCGAAGAAAAGAGAAGGGACGAAACAGCGAGGCUGCUCUCCUUCACCGAUGUUGAGGUGUGAAAGGGGAAAGGGAGGCCAGAAGGGUUUCGUCGGUCUCGGUAGGUGCAACAAGGGUUGCUCAAGCAGUUCCCGGCUGCUUCUCCUACGAUUCCUGUAGCGUAUGCGAAGGGGAGGAGGACAUUUGGCCCGAUGGAGCAAGGCAAGUAGAAACAGCAGCUCCGGUGGGGGGUUUGGCAGCGGUGCUCGAUAGAAGAAGAACGAAGCUGCGGUGGUCUUCGGUGGGUGAAGAUGGGAGUUGUAGGGCGGCAGUGGGUCGCAUGGGGUUGUGGCAGUCGGCGUUUCCGACUGCUUUUUCGAGGUGUACAUGAGAUCAAGAACAAAGUAUUUUUCUCUGAAAAACAAAGGUCGAGGCAGAAUGGUCGAUCAACGAGGGGUGUUUGUUUGACAGUAAUUGAUAAACGGAAUGGACGAUUGUGUUGUUUGAUUUUAUCAUUAUCAGUUUGUGGUUGAGUUUGAGUGUUCACUUUAGCAUUGUACAGGUUUCGUUUGAGUGUAGUUUUGGGUUGAAGAAA